GACGUAGGGCGCGAGCGUUGUCCGGAAUUAUUGGGCGUAAAGAGCUCGUAGGCGGCUUGUUGCGUCGACUGUGAAAACCCGCGGCUCAACCGUGUGGCUUGCAGUCGAUACGGGCAGGCUGGAAUUCGGUAGGGGAGACUGGAAUUCCUGGUGUAGCGGUGUAAUGCGCAGAUAUCAGGAGGAACACCGGUGGCGAAGGCGGGUCUCUGGGCCGAUCUUGACGCUGAGGGGCGAAAGCGUGGGGAGCGAACAGG
This 254-nucleotide ribosomal RNA is filed under the name uncultured bacterium. RNAcentral's name for it is "partial 16S ribosomal RNA". It matches the Rfam family "Bacterial small subunit ribosomal RNA", at positions 524 to 776 of the family's 1533-position model. The record is from RNAcentral.